RNAcentral lists this long non-coding RNA (1591 nucleotides) under Gadus morhua (Atlantic cod). RNAcentral describes it as "lncRNA (ENSGMOG00000033033.1)". The record is from RNAcentral. Lineage: Eukaryota; Metazoa; Chordata; Actinopteri; Gadiformes; Gadidae.
AUAACUUACUUUAAAAAAAAAAAAGUUAAGGUUUUAAAUGUAUUAUUAAGCACAAUAACGUCAGCGCUAAGCUGCCUUGGGCUGACGGCGCCUCACUAAAUCCUAUGCGGUGAGAACCAUAUGUGACAAAGAGUAUGCUAAAGAAUACCGGCUUUAUGGUUAUCAUGGCACAUUGUCGGUUAAAAGGAACGGUUCAUGUGUGUGUGUGUGUGUGUGUGUGUGUGUGUGUGUGUGUGUGUGUGUGUGUGUGUGUGUGUGUGUGUGUGUGUGUGUGUGUGUGUGUGUGUGUGUGUGUGUGUGUCUUUUAUGUGGGUCACUCCACCAUGUCUAAUGGCCCCUUACUGAGUACCGCGUCCUGGGCUGAGCUGCACCCCACUGACACACACACACACACACAGCAGGAGAUAUUUCUGGGGUGUCCCUCACCCCUAAUACCCUUCUCAAUACCCCGCCGCCACGGUGGCAGCGGACCUCAGCUCUAAAGUUAAUCAGCUAAAGAGUUAGCAGGUCCUCUCUCUCUCUCUCUCCCUCUCUCACUCUCUCCUCGCUGUCUCACUCCCCAACCGACACAUCUCUGCGUCUUUCCCCUCCGUCGCCUUAUCCGUGUUUUUUUUUCUCCCGUUAACGAGUGUAACUGUUCCUCUCCACGGUCUCCACCAUGUCCUCCGUGUCCGUCCGUCCUUUCCUCCUCUCCUCUAUCGUCCCUCCAUCUCCUGUUGUGUUGUGGUAUGGUUCUCUCUCUCCUCUCAUCUCUCCCCGUUUGGUGUUUCGCUGCAUGCGCUGGUGUCACUCUGCCCUGUGGAUUCGUAUACGGUCACUGGGAGCGUUGGACCAGGCUGCAGGCCCUCCCUGACGGGUGGAGAAGACGAACACACUGGUGUUCCAUGGACAAUUUGCCUCCCCGAGGCCCGUCUCAUAUGGGAUUCUGCAGAGUGGGUCCAGCAUUGGGGGGCUGUUCCUGUCAUCUCCUAUUGUCCUCCCCUGCACACCUUCUUCACUUCAGUGGACUUUUCAAGAGAAAAAUUACCCUGCCUUUUUUUUGUGCAUCAAAAUAAAACACAGAAUAUUAUCAAUUGUCAGGAUUGUAUUUUUUCAUCGGCUUUCAUAUCUUCGUCUUUUAAAAAACAUAAAAAGCUGUGUUUUAUUUUAAUUUGCCUAUUAUUCUUUGGGAAACUUUCGAUGCAUCAUAAAAGCUUUAUUUAAGUAUACAAUUUGAUUUGACACAAUUAAGUAACAUGGGCUGAUACAGUAUGCCUAGAUGUGAAGUAUGGACGAUACAGAACCUGUAUCCACUUUGGGUCAACAUUAUUUAUCACACAUUAGAUUUUAUUUUUCCCAUUGACAUUGUUAUUUAAAAUCAUUAUGGUCAUUUUAAAACAUUUAUAUUAAGAUAUUCAUGACUUGUAAUAACAAUUGUAUUAGCUGACGUCUGAGACAAGUUAGUCCCAACCAUUUAGUGAUUUAUAAGAAAAUGUUGUAAGGUUUCUAUUGACUGCAGUCCAAUAGGGAACAUGGUCAAUCCUCUGAAGGGGAUGAAAAUCACUGCAACACAAGCAUUAGUUUAAUCUGCUCCUCUCCAAAGCACUUGUUU